RNAcentral lists this ribosomal RNA (468 nucleotides) under uncultured bacterium. Its description in RNAcentral is "partial 16S ribosomal RNA". It matches the Rfam family "Bacterial small subunit ribosomal RNA", at positions 28 to 507 of the family's 1533-position model. The record is from RNAcentral.
GACGAACGCUGGCGGCGUGCUUAACGCAUGCAAGUCGAACGGAAAGGCCCUGCUUUUGUGGGGUGCUCGAGUGGCGAACGGGUGAGUAACACGUGAGUAACCUGCCCUUGACUUUGGGAUAACUUCAGGAAACUGGGGCUAAUACCGGAUAGGAGCUCCUGCUGCAUGGUGGGGGUUGGAAAGUUUCGGCGGUUGGGGAUGGACUCGCGGCUUAUCAGCUUGUUGGUGGGGUAGUGGCUUACCAAGGCUUUGACGGGUAGCCGGCCUGAGAGGGUGACCGGCCACAUUGGGGCUGAGAUACGGCCCAGACUCCUACGGGAGGCAGCAGUGGGGAAUAUUGCACAAUGGGCGGAAGCCUGAUGCAGCAACGCCGCGUGCGGGAUGACGGCCUUCGGGUUGUAAACCGCUUUCGCCUGUGACGAAGCGUGAGUGACGGUAAUGGGUAAAGAAGCACCGGCUAACUACGUG